CUUUUCUCUUGUUGAGUGCAAAUGGAGAACAGCUGCUCAUGCUCAUCGUCUGACAUCAGCUAUUUCUCAGGAUGACCCUGCGAGACGGGCCAGGGUCAUUAGACCCAAUUUGGUGCUCAGCAAAUAUGUGCUUAUUCCUGCAUGCGUGGGCCACAGGCUGGUUUCUUGGGUGCAAUGAAUAGCUGCAGGUUUAUUAGGGUGUCUUUUUAGAUGGAUGUAUGUUUCCCGAUGUCUAUAGAACACUCCGGACCCUGGAGAGCGAAGACUCUGACUGUUGGACUUGCCUUGAGAAGAUCCUUCUCCACCUCCCCGUGGCAGAAGUUGCUUCACAGAGGGGAACAGUUUUAUGGAUGUGGCUGAGACCUUAAACUUCAGGCAAUUCAUCUGAGGUGGCAUCCAGAGGAGACUGGCUGGCCCUUCCUUCACCUUGGAUGUAGCACUGUUUCUAGGAUCUCUUUUCAAUCAGUAAGACAGGGGAUGUUCCAAGAGGGUAUGUGGAUUCCCUGCCAUCCCACAUGGUCAAGUGGAGGGGAUGGGAAAAAGCCAUGAAGGGUUUGUGACCACACAGAGACUCUCCUGGCCCCCUGUCCUUUUGGAAAGAAGACAGAGAUGAAAUAUAAUCAAGCAAUUAACCACCCCCAUCAUCACCAAGAACAACAGUAUCAACAACAAGAACAGGGACAACAAAACCCACGGAUGAAACAUUCCUUUCUCAGCUCAGAUCUUAUCUGGUGUGCUCUCUCUCUGCUCUGUCUUGGUGUGUGGUUUAGAGAAACAUGGGCAACGCUGUUUGGAAGAACAGGUGAACGAGGGUGGGGAAUUUCAGAGGCCUGGGCCCACCGCCUCCACCCCUUCCCCAGUUUAACCUUUGACAGGAUCUUCACCUCUCUCUGAUCAGCAUUGCUUCUUGUUCAAAGGCCUCAGCCACCCAGCUGUGUCCCUCUCCCCAGAAGGCAAGGGCAGAUGACAGUGGGUCUGCUUGAUGAGAGAAUUUUAAGGGCCCAAUCAGUCCCUGGGCACCCCCUCCUGGGCUCGUUUUCUCCAGGAGGCUGCAUUCUGAUCCAUAAACCUUCUCCUCAGGGUUUAGGGUCGAGUUGUUCCUGAUGUUUAUCGGAGGCUGGGAUCAAAGCUCUCCAGGUCAUAAAUCUCUCUCUGUGGCUGUUGGGCCCCAGGGCAGCUGAAGAGGGUUGACAGCCCUUUGGACCUCAAAGGAAAAAAUGUGCUCUACUCCACCCACUCUCAGCUCUGCCAAGAAGCUGUCCUCUGAGAAGCCAUGGCUGGGCUGUUCCAUUCCGGGGAGCUGCUGAAAAGAGCUGGGAGGCCGAGAAGAACUUGUGUGUGCUGGGGGAGAGGAAGCCCGGCCUUGAGGGAGGGGUGCAGGUGUGGCUCCUCUGUGUGUGGGGGCUGGGGGACCUUGUGUGCCUUUUCCUUGUGGCUGUGAAAUGCUUUAUGAGUACUUCCAUAGGUGGAUGGACAGGGGGUGGGGGAGAUAAACUCAGCCACAAGGUCCCAGGGCCCCAGGUAACUUGCACCCAACCCUCUCAUUUUACAGAAGAAAACUGUGCCUGGAAGGUUGAAGGGUUUGUUCCCAGUCACACAACCAGGGAUCCUUAGGACAGCCAAACCAGGAAACCAUUUCCAAACUGCCAAUCCAUGGCAGAGUAUCAAGACCCCAGGAACCAUCGAGACACCAUGGAAGCAUCGAGAAAGGGGUCCUUAGCUUUUGAAGCUCCUCACUGUUCUUGAGUGUGCACGGAGCCCAUGACUGCGGGGUUUUGUAGACACCUCAGGGAUUACAUGACUGGUACCCCUGACAAAGUCAAGGCUGCUGGACAAAAUGAGUCCGAGGAUUUCAGGGGCAGCUGGGCGCAGGAGCUGUUGGGCUGUUGGGAGUGCCCCCUUACUGGGCAGGCUUCCUUCCUCCUGGUGAUGGGGGGUUCCUCAGCACAAAGGUGAAGGGGUGGAGGGACUGGAGCAGCAGGAAUCUCUCUUGUUGAUAGGUAUGAGGCCUUGAAGUCCUUUCUUUGUCCCAGGAUUCAUGGAAGCUUCGGGGCUGAUCUUUGAGUUUUGAAGCAUGGGGUGCAGAGACGUUUAGGCAAACUCUUACCAUCCUCUCUCUUCGUCAGGGCUUCCCAGGAAUCAACAAUGCCCAUGAAGGAAGGGAUUAUAGAAAUAGCUUAACCCUUUCAUUUACCAAUGUGGAAAUUGAAGCCCAGGGAAGGGAAGGGACUGGUCGUGGAAGGGAGAGCCAUCAGUAGAAAGAGACCCUGAGAUCUUCGCGUGGGAUUCCCAGGAAGUCCAGCCCGAGCUGAUUCACAGAACAAAUGCAUGCAAACCUUGCUAUCAAUAAACUACACACGCACUUAUGUAAAACACAUAAAAA
This 2383-nucleotide long non-coding RNA is filed under the name Pongo abelii (Sumatran orangutan). Its description in RNAcentral is "lincRNA". The record is from RNAcentral. Lineage: Eukaryota; Metazoa; Chordata; Mammalia; Primates; Hominidae.